UACGGAGGAUGCAAGCGUUAUCCGGAAUUAUUGGGCGUAAAGCGUCCGUAGGUGGUGGUGCAAGUCAGUUGUUAAAGCGCGGAGCUUAACUCCGUAAGGGCAAUUGAAACUGCGCCGCUAGAGUGCGAUAGGGGCAAGGGGAAUUCCCAGUGUAGCGGUGAAAUGCGUAGAUAUUGGGAAGAACACCGGUGGCGAAAGCGCCUUGCUGGGUCUGCACUGACACUGAGGGACGAAAGCUAGGGGAGCGAAAGGG
This 253-nucleotide ribosomal RNA is filed under the name uncultured Leptolyngbya sp. RNAcentral describes it as "partial 16S ribosomal RNA". It matches the Rfam family "Bacterial small subunit ribosomal RNA", at positions 524 to 776 of the family's 1533-position model. Lineage: Bacteria; Bacillati; Cyanobacteriota; Cyanophyceae; Leptolyngbyales; Leptolyngbyaceae. The record is from RNAcentral.